This 132-nucleotide ribosomal RNA is filed under the name Pteropus vampyrus (large flying fox). Lineage: Eukaryota; Metazoa; Chordata; Mammalia; Chiroptera; Pteropodidae. The record is from RNAcentral.
ACAUACGGCCAUGCCACCCUGAACAAGCCCAAUCCCGUCUGAUCUCAGAAGCUAGGCAGGGUCGGGCCUGCUUAGUACUUGGAUGAGAGAAGACACACUACAGCCAGAUGCUACGAGCCGGCACCCUUAGCC